Anas platyrhynchos (mallard) is the source of this 3263-nucleotide long non-coding RNA. RefSeq lists it as uncharacterized. The record is from RefSeq and is a predicted model, not a curated record. Lineage: Eukaryota; Metazoa; Chordata; Aves; Anseriformes; Anatidae.
UCAAAAGGAACGGAAAAUGGAGACUGUUGUUAGUAAUCAAGAAAAGGAAUGGAAAAUGGAGACUGGUAAGUCAUGGAACUUAAAGGAUUGUUUGUUACCUUUUCUGAUUGUACAAAUGUGUAGGCAUACUUGCGUUUAGUAUGUAAAGCGAUGUUCUAUGUAUUUAGAAUGUUUGAUGUUCGUUUGUGCGUGUUGGUGGAGCGUAGACUCCCCGCACACCCAGCGCUGUUUACUUGCCUUUUAUACCUUUUAUAAGUAUAAAUUUUACUAAAUUCAGAUGGAGUUGAGACGUCAUUUAUAACAAAUCGGUGACCCCGACGUGAUCCUCUUGGACUUUGGAUCUGUGACCGGUAAAGGGAGGCGCCCCACAUAGUGGCCCUUGCCGAGAGUGGUGCUGGAGUCCAACAAGAUUUCAAACAUAAGAGGCAAGUAAAGAACCAAGAGCUCUUAUUUUGUGACCCGUAAUUCUGCGCACGAAGACCUGAACGAAGAUACCGUUCGGUUGGGUGGAUUCGUUUGUGUGACUGUGUGUAGGGGUGUAACUGAGAUGGAAUUUAGUUCUGAAGCUAAGAAUUCGUGGGUGGGUUAACCACUUGCAAGACACCUCUAGACACAGCCAGGGAUUCGGAACCUCUGAGGAUUCCAGGGAUUCGGAACCUCUUUGAGGGUUCCAGGGAUUCGGAACCUCUUUGAGGUAGCGUUCCAGGGAUUCGGAAUUUAUUUGAAGCUUCCAGGGAUUUGGCCAGGGAUUCGGAACCUCUUUGAGGGUUCCGGGGGUUCAGAACCUUUUUGAGGGAGGGUUCCAGGGAUUCAGAACUUAUUUGAAGGUUCCAGGGAUUCAGAACUUAUUUGAAGGUUCCAGGAUGGGUCAGGUGAAAAGGGAUCCAUACAGAAACUUGAAGUAUAUCAGGGCAUAGCUACCCCUGUUGGAUGCUAAUUGUAGUGAUUGAAAUAAUAGGUGGGAAAAUUUACCUAGAUGGUUGGUUAUUUGCUUUGAAUCGAGCCCCCACUAACUCGUGGAAAAGUUGAAUGCAAAUAGGAGAACCAUCGGGUGUGUAAGUCUGGACCAUUUCCUAAGAAGCAUCGGAGAGAGGGCAAAACCAGAGAAGAGACCAGUACUGCGGCUCAAGAAGGUUUACCAAGGGCUGCAAGCCUUUAGGGUAAUAACCACUGGGUAACGUGGCCUUUACCGGACCGCUCCUAAUUACAUGCUAUUGGUCUCAGAAUUGCAGUGAAUGUAUUGUUAACACCCGGAGAGGAAGAAUUCAGGAACAAACACUACUAUGCCUGUUAAACCUAUGCUAUGGAAACUGGAGUAUGCUCGAUGUAAUGAAAGCGAUAAGAUAACCAGUUAUGAGCCAAAAGAGGUCCCCUAUCAAUGGUGGAUAGAGGCCGUUGACAAAGCCAAAAUCAGACCGAAAAAGAGAAUCUACUGCAGUUGCCAGAAUGCCGAGGACCAGAGCAGAUGAGAAAGCUGCAAGAUGAGUUCAUGGAGAAAAUGGGGAUUUGGAGGUCCGCCGAAGCUGCAGACUUCGAUGAAGUCGUUACCCUACUACAAAUCCAUCCCUUCUGCUUGACAAAUAUAUAAGAAAGUGUCCUGGUUUCAGUUAGGACAGCACUCUUCUCAUCCUAAGCCAAAACAUAGCAUUCUACCAGCUACUAGGAAGAAAAUUAACUUUGUCCUAACUGAAACCAGGACACAAAGUAAGUCUUCUUUUCCUGCAGGCCUACUCAAAUGAUCUUUCUGAGCAAGCCUUUGUGCUCUGGCACGAUAUUGGCCUUGACUCGCUCACUCUUUUGACAACAGAGAGGUAUUGUCACUCCUGGCAUUGAGAGUUCAGUGUGUUUGGGGGUAGGCUGAGACCUCCUUACGUGCCCCCCUGUGUGUUAUGCAUUGCUACUGGUAACUACUGGCCACCAGUGACAAUUACUGGUCAGGUAUCAGAGGCUUUGGGAGUGUUUGGUCUGAGCAUUCCACUGCUUAGCAGUGUUCAUGGCUGGUGAGCGUAGGUGGUGCUCUCUUCGUCGCUCUACUAACGGUGGGCUCUUUCCUUGGCCUACACCGGUAUGUCCUGCUCUCCUUGGUAAUAACUGAUUCCUUGAAGUCAUGGUCCUUUGUAGCUUACUGCCAGACUGUGUAACCUGACUUUUGGGGGACUGGGCAUUCGUGGCUGGUUAAGUCUGCCUGGACUGAGAGGGUGUGAGAGAGGAUGAACUUGGCAGGUGCUUCAUGUCUAAAGAACUUAAGCCCAAUUGGUUUAAUUUGCUGCUGAGGUUGUAGUUUUGGGAUUGCUGUUUGAUGAGAGAUCUUCAUCCUGAGCAUGCUUUUUAUAUGGGCCUGGUGGGUUUCUGGGUUGUCUUCUGAACCGAAAUGAUUACUUUACCUGUGACUUUCAUCAGAUUUAACUUUCCCCAUCGAGCAAUUUUCUUAGUAUCAGAAGUGCCUUCAUUUUGAAUACACUUUUAGUUCCAUAGUUAUAAAAGGGAAUGUAAGGCUUGGUUAAGAAACUGAGGACAGUUUGAUACAGUCAAAGUGAAGUAGUUCUAAUGAUUCUACAUUUGUGUCUGCUGUUUAUUUCUGUUUCUGAAGCUGAAAUUGUUAUCUGCUUCAGAAUUGCCUUGCCUUGCCUGCCCUGCCCUUAUCUUCCCUGCCCUGUGCCUUCCUGUGCCCUGUGCCUUCCUGUGUUCCCUUAUCUUCCUGUGCCCUGUGCCUUCCUGUGUUCCAGAGGCAUUUGGGCAAUGCCCUCAAGAAUAUGCUUUAACUUUUGUUUAGCCCUGAAGAGGUCAGACAUUUGGACUCGAUCUUUGAAGAUCUUUCCAACCGAACUAUCUUAUUCUAGGAAAACUCGCUUCCAGCUCUUUCAAGAUAGUAGCAGCAUCAUUUCUAACUAAAAGCUUGGCCAGAUGAUUGUAACCGAAGAUUGAGUCCAAAGACUCAAACAGCUCAUCUGGAGCAAAAAUGUACGACAUGUCUUCUGGAAGUGGCUCCUGUUUAAUGUCAUUUAUCUCGUUGUCACUCGAGUUUCCAUCUGCAGCCAUUUCUGCGAGAGGCUCCUUUUGGUCCUGCCAGUGAGCAAGUGAGGCUCAAUGGACUGUCUGGGGGUUCUGGUGGGGGAAGCUCAAACGUCACCAUGACGACCCAGUGAUGAUAUCACAGUGUGGCUCUGGCUGGAGCAGCCAGAGCAGGCAUGUUGCUGGUCCUGCAACGUAGCUAUGGGUGUUUUGACUCAAGAGCCAAGAAGCAAAUAAAGUUAUUUAAAGGG